RNAcentral lists this ribosomal RNA (419 nucleotides) under bacterium. RNAcentral's name for it is "partial 16S ribosomal RNA". It matches the Rfam family "Bacterial small subunit ribosomal RNA", at positions 355 to 776 of the family's 1533-position model. The record is from RNAcentral.
UGGGGGAUAUUGCACAAUGGGCGAAAGCCUGAUGCAGCGACGCCGCGUGGGGGAUGAAGGCCUUCGGGUUGUAAACUUCUUUUGCUCUGAACAAGGCAUGCUAAUGGGUGUGUUGAGUGUAGGGGUUGAUUAGCGCCGGCUAACUACGUGCCAGCAGCCGCGGUAAUACGUAGGGCGCGAGCGUUGUCCGGAAUUAUUGGGCGUAAAGGGUUUGUAGGUGGCUGGUUGCGUCUGUCGUGAAAGCUCAUGGCUUAACUGUGGGUUUGCGGUGGGUACGGGCUGGCUUGAGUGCAGUAGGGGAGGCUGGAAUUCCUGGUGUAGCGGUGGAAUGCGCAGAUAUCAGGAGGAAUACCGGUGGCGAAGGCGGGUCUCUGGGCUGUUACUGACACUGAAGAGCGAAAGCAUGGGGAGCGAACAGG